AUAAUCCUCAAUAGGCGAUUGGAUCUGGAAGGACCUUUCGCCAAAAGGGACAGAGCGAAUGGGCUCUGUCUGCGCGAGGAUGGGACUGCGUCCCAUCAGGCAGUUGGUGGGGUAAUGGCCCACCAAACCUAUAACGGGUACGGGCCGUGAGAGCGGGAGCCCGGAGAUGGGCACUGAGACAAGGGCCCAGGCUCUACGGAGCGCACCAAGCGCGAAACCUUCGCAAUGCGCGAAAGCGUGACGGGGCUAUCCCGAGUGCUAGCCGCUGAGGCUAGCUUUUGCUCAGUGUAAGAAGCUGAGCGAAUAAGUGGGGGGCAAGACUGGUGUCAGCCGCCGCGGUAAUACCAGCUCCACGAGUGGUCAGGACGGUUAUUGGGCCUAAAGCGUCCGUAGCCGGCCCAGCAAGUUUAUGGUGAAAUCCGGCGUCUCAAGCGUCGGAGUGCUGUAAACACUGCUGGGCUAGGGAGUGGGAGAGGCCGAGGGUACCUCUGGGGUAGGGGCGAAAUCCUAUAAUCCCAGAGUGACGACCA
Molecule: ribosomal RNA, 530 nt
Filed under: uncultured archaeon
Lineage: Archaea
Description: bacterial SSU rRNA
Rfam family: Archaeal small subunit ribosomal RNA
Source: RNAcentral